AUUGAACGCUGGCGGCAUGCCUUACACAUGCAAGUCGAACGGUAACAGGUCUUCGGAUGCUGACGAGUGGCGAACGGGUGAGGAAUACAUCGGAACGUGCCUAGUAGUGGGGGAUAACUACUCGAAAGAGUGGCUAAUACCGCAUGAGAUCUACGGAUGAAAGCAGGGGAUCGCAAGACCUUGUGCUACUAGAGCGGCCGAUGGCAGAUUAGGUAGUUGGUGGGAUAAAAGCUUACCAAGCCGACGAUCGGUAGCUGGUCUGAGAGGACGAUCAGCCACACUGGGACUGAGACACGGCCCAGACUCCUACGGGAGGCAGCAGUGGGGAAUUUUGGACAAUGGGCGCAAGCCUGAUCCAGCAAUGCCGCGUGCAGGAUGAAGGCCUUCGGGUUGUAAACUGCUUUUGUACGGAACGAAAAGCCCCGGGUUAAUACCCUGGGGUCAUGACGGUACCGUAAGAAUAAGCACCGGCUAACUACGUGCCAGCCGCCGCGGUAA
RNAcentral lists this ribosomal RNA (498 nucleotides) under uncultured bacterium. Its description in RNAcentral is "partial 16S ribosomal RNA". It matches the Rfam family "Bacterial small subunit ribosomal RNA", at positions 30 to 523 of the family's 1533-position model. The record is from RNAcentral.